GGCUUGUUAGCUCAGUUGGUUAGAGCAUGGUGCUUGUAAUGCCAAGAUCGCGGAUUAGAUUCCCGUACUGGCCA
Molecule: non-coding RNA, 74 nt
Organism: Lampris incognitus (smalleye Pacific opah)
Lineage: Eukaryota; Metazoa; Chordata; Actinopteri; Lampriformes; Lampridae
Source: the annotation of a RefSeq genome assembly